GAUGAACGCUGGCGGCGUGCCUAAUACAUGCAAGUCGAGCGAACAGACGAGGAGCUUGCUCCUCUGACGUUACCGGCGGACGGGUGAGUAACACGUGGAUGACCUACCUCUAAGACUGGGAUAUCUUCGGGAAACCGGAGCUAAUACCGGAUACUAUAUUGAACCGCAUGGUUCAAUAGUGAAUGACGGUUUUGCUGUCACUUCUAGAUGGCUCCGCGCCGCAUUAGCUAGUUGGUAAGGUAACGGCUUACCAAGGCAACGAUGCGUAGCCGACCUGAGAGGGGGAGCGGCCACACUGGAACUGAAACACGGACCAGAGUCCUACGGGAGGCAGCAGUAGGGAAUGUUCCGCAAUGGGCGAAAGCCUGACGGAGCAACGCCGCGUGAGUGAAGAAGGGCUUCGGAUCGGAAAACUCUGUUAGUAGGGAAGAACAAAUGUGUAAGUAACGAUGCACGUCUUGACGGUACCUAAUCAGAAAGCCACGGCUAACUACGUG
RNAcentral lists this ribosomal RNA (497 nucleotides) under uncultured bacterium. RNAcentral's name for it is "partial 16S ribosomal RNA". It matches the Rfam family "Bacterial small subunit ribosomal RNA", at positions 28 to 507 of the family's 1533-position model. The record is from RNAcentral.